AUAAUAAUAUCUGUUGUGGUGUUAAACAACAACCAGUCAAUCAAUAUAAAUAUUUGUUAAUUGUAUAAUACUGUAAAAUUGUGAAAUUAUUGGGAUGAUUAUAUUAAUGCAUAAAUUGCAAUUAAAUGAGUAUCGCAAUAAAAAGAACUUGCAUUCUGAUGUCAAUUAUAUGUAUAUGUGUAAGCAAAUUAAAGCAAUAAUUAAUCUCACACCUUUUGUCAUUUCUUAAAAAAUGUCAAUAAAUAGGUACACACAAUAAGUUCUGUUUUCACUGUGCUGGAUUCUGAAAAAUGAACAAACUUACAACUUUUUUGUGAUAGAAAUGUGAUAGUUUAAAGGCUUAAAAACCUUGAAAGCUAAAUGUCUUUAAACAAUGUAUACAUAAGACCAUGCCUAUUUCGAACAGUUAUUCUUUUGAAUGUAACUAUAUAAGCAAGUUGUGGGCAAACUUUAUCAUGAAUCAACUGUAUAUAAUGCAGUAUCUAUUCUUUAAAAGUAAAAUGAUCUCUUCUCAGUGAACACAAUAACUGUCUGCAGAAUUAAAAGGAAAAGUUUGAAUUUCAGGACGUAUUAAUAUGCAACAGAAAUUACAGACAUUUCUUUCCUGAUACUUUUUAAAUCAAAAAAAUUUCAACUAAGGUAUCUUACUUCUUUAAAGCAAAAGUAUUAAACAAAUUAUAAUCUGAUGAAUCCUGAUUAAAAGGUGUCCUUUAUAACCUAAGUAUCAAAACAGAGUGACUUAUUUUAAGAUGUGAAUGAGUCCAUAAUGUUUAAAUCUUUACUAUUCAUGAAAAGUUAGAAUAUGUGGGUUAUAUGAGACAGCACCUCAAAAAUGAAUUACCCCAGUAUAAAAAUAGAAUGAAGUAUAUCCCUGUUCCCCACAGCACAUAGAAACAUGAAUUUGUAGAUUUACAAGAGAUCUUGGUUAGGACCAUCAAGUAAUGCACAUUUAAUGUGUAGGCAAAUUUCAAACUUGUUUAACUGAAAUAAAUCAAGAGAUCAUUUAUGUUAUGUCUAUAUAGCUUCUUUGAUCAAUUAAAUGGAUUUGAGAUAUUGUAAACAGAUACUGCUUUUCCUUACCCUUGGACAUUUACUAGAUUUUCAGCAGAUCUACUUGUCACAUGUAUGUAUCUCUUACAUGAAAUUUGUUUCGGGUACAACAAAAUGCCUUAGUGUGUAGAUAACGGAAAUAUGUUUGGUUAGCUUGCUUGCUAGCUAAACUGUGAAGUCAUUAUCAAGUUAGGUACACUACCUACCUUUAAGAGUUGGUUAGUUGGACAGAUAACCAAUCUGUCUGUCUGUAGGACUAGACUACUUCAAAAGGAGGGUAGUAUACACGAUAAGCUAAACAAAUAUAUUACCUUUACCUACACACUCAAGGCAUUUUGCUGUAACAGAUAGCCAGAUUAGUAUCUGGGAACAGUAUCAAAAUGCAUACCCUUUUAAUAUUUUACAUUGUCACUUCUAAAACAAAAAUGUUAAACUAACAUCUUGGACAGACAUUUUGUUUUUCAAAAUUGCACAAUAUCAAAUCAAGCACUGAGACUAGAAAUAAAUACAUCAAUAUUUACAAAAAUAAAAUAUUUAUACAAAACUAUACACUUUAUAUAUUGAACUAUGAUCCAUGACCAACACAUUUUUUUACAUGUGCUUAUACCAAAGCAUUGAAAAAGACAAAAUAAUGAAGAAAUAUCAUCUGAAAUAGUUGCAGCAAGCAAUCUGGUUUUUUUUUUUCAUAAUUUGCAUUAAAAAUAAAGAUGGAAAAAAUGUGUAUUUGUUUAACACUGAUAACAUUCAUUUUAAUUUGUUACAGCAAGUACUGAAAAUUCAGAAAUUGUUGCAUGCAUUUAUAAUUAUGAUUUUUGAAAAAUUGACAAAAAUGAAAGUUUUCAGAUACAGAUAUAAAUACUAGACAUCAGAAUGUGAGUUCUGCGAUAAUUACCAAGUUGCAUUAUUGCAUUAAUAAAAACCUUGCAAUAAUUUCUGAAUAUACAGUACAUUUUUUGUACUUAAAAGUAUUCUUUUCUAA
Molecule: long non-coding RNA, 2029 nt
Filed under: Mytilus galloprovincialis (Mediterranean mussel)
Lineage: Eukaryota; Metazoa; Mollusca; Bivalvia; Mytilida; Mytilidae
Source: RNAcentral